Molecule: long non-coding RNA, 240 nt
Filed under: Ananas comosus (pineapple)
Lineage: Eukaryota; Viridiplantae; Streptophyta; Magnoliopsida; Poales; Bromeliaceae
Description: long non-coding RNA (ACOM_LNC028773)
Source: RNAcentral
GUAGAGAAAAGCUAAAACUCUUAAUGUAAUGGUUUUUGAAUUUUUUAAAAAUUGGUAAGUCCCGAGUUCGAAUCCUAAUUGAUUCACAUUUUCAGUUAAGUUUAUUUCUAAAUUAAAUAAACGAACCGAAUAGUAUGCUACAUAUCUCUCAAAAAAAAAUUGGUAAGUAUGGAUUUUAUAAAAGAUAAGGUAAACGUUUACAAACUUAUAAAAUAGAGCAGUGCUGCAAUACUCCAUUUU